GAGAAUCAUCUCUCCCAGAUAAUGGCACUCUCAAACAAGUUUCCAAGUUGUUUGAAAGGCUAUUUCUUGGUCAGAAGACUCUCAAUUCCUUCUGGA
Molecule: microRNA precursor, 96 nt
Filed under: Dipodomys ordii (Ord's kangaroo rat)
Lineage: Eukaryota; Metazoa; Chordata; Mammalia; Rodentia; Heteromyidae
Description: microRNA 488 (ENSDORG00000020653.2)
Rfam family: mir-488 microRNA precursor family (bases 1-83)
Source: RNAcentral